Molecule: ribosomal RNA, 253 nt
Filed under: uncultured bacterium
Lineage: Bacteria
Description: partial 16S ribosomal RNA
Rfam family: Bacterial small subunit ribosomal RNA
Source: RNAcentral
UACGUAGGGGGCAAGCGUUGUCCGGAUUUAUUGGGCGUAAAGGGCGCGUAGGCGGUUUCUUAAGUUUGGAGUGACAGUGGGUGGCUUAACUACCCAAGGCCGUUGAAAACUGGGGAACUUGAGGACCAGAGAGGGACAUAGAAUUCCGGGUGGAGUGGUGAAAUGCGUAGAUAUCCGGAGGAAUACCAAAGGCGAAGGCAGUGUCCUGGAGGGUGACUGACGCUGAGGCGCGAAAGCUAGGGGAGCGAACAGG